UCAUGCGCUGAUAUGAUGGUCGACGGA
RNAcentral lists this non-coding RNA (27 nucleotides) under Bombyx mori (domestic silkworm). The record is from RNAcentral. Lineage: Eukaryota; Metazoa; Arthropoda; Insecta; Lepidoptera; Bombycidae.